AUCGCUUCUCGGCCUUUUGGCUAAGAUCAAGUGUAGAAUAAAAAAUUAUAUAUCCUGCACAUUAUUUUAUCACUAAAUAUAU
This is a small nuclear RNA of Heterocephalus glaber (naked mole-rat), 82 nucleotides long. Its record names the gene U2. It matches the Rfam family "U2 spliceosomal RNA". Rfam says of the family: U2 is a small nuclear RNA (snRNA) component of the spliceosome (involved in pre-mRNA splicing). Complementary binding between U2 snRNA (in an area lying towards the 5' end but 3' to hairpin I) and the branchpoint sequence (BPS) of the intron results the bulging out of an unpaired adenosine, on the BPS, which initiates a nucleophilic attack at the intronic 5' splice site, thus starting the first of two transesterification reactions that mediate splicing. Lineage: Eukaryota; Metazoa; Chordata; Mammalia; Rodentia; Bathyergidae. The record is from Ensembl.